Juglans microcarpa x Juglans regia is the source of this 632-nucleotide long non-coding RNA. RefSeq lists it as uncharacterized. The transcript has 2 exons. The record is from RefSeq and is a predicted model, not a curated record. Lineage: Eukaryota; Viridiplantae; Streptophyta; Magnoliopsida; Fagales; Juglandaceae.
AAGUUGCGGCUAAAGAAUUUUGGAAACCCAAAUCGAUGGAAGAAACCCCAACCACAUUACAUUCCUUUUUAUCCGCAAUUUACCCCAACCCCAAUAGUACUCUCUCUCUCUCUCUCACGUCUAUGAAAUUUUCCUCUCGCCCUGAAAAACACGAUCAGCCUACUGCGACGUCGUUGCCUCCUCGCAGGUUAAAAAACUUGGAUGAGCUGGAUGAACACUAUAUAUGUUUGUUGUCCUCUGUUAUUGCGUCUGACCUGGAUGAGCUGAAAGGCAUGAAGAAGUUUGAAGUAGCUAAUGUUGAAGGAGAUGAAGUAGCUAAUGUCUGAAGUAGUUAGCUACUGGAGGAGAUGAUUGAAGAGGUCUGAAGUAGCUAAUGUAGUCAAAGUCCAGUACUACAUGCAGUGAUCCUGCUGAACGUUUUUUUGUAUUGUAAAAUUAAUGAUGAUGGAUGACUUGUGACUGUAAUAUUUUUUGAAAUGAUUAAAUGACUGUAAUGAAGAAGUUUGUACUACGUGAAGUGAUCCUGGUUUAAUGAUUGUAAUAUUUUCUGAAAUGAUUAAAUUUUAUGAAGAUUGAUGACAUUUGGUCUAAUAAGGUCAAAUAUUGAAUUGCUUGCCCCGUUAUCCACAAAA